UGGGGAAUUUUGCACAAUGGAGGAAACUCUGAUGCAGCGACGCCGCGUGAGUGAUGAAGAUCUUCGGAUUGUAAAACUCUGUCCUUAGUGAAGAUAAUGACAGUAACUAAGAAGCAAGCCCUGGCUAAAUACGUGCCAGCAGCCGCGGUAAUACGUAUGGGGCAAGCGUUGUCCAGAAUUAUUGGGCGUAAAGGGUACGUAGGCGGUUUAAUAAGUCCUAAUUAAAAGGCUAUGGCUCAACCAUAGUAUGGUUAGGAAACUGUUGAACUUGAGUAGAUGAGGGGAAAGUGGAAUUCCAUGUGUAGCGGUGAAAUGCGUAGAUAUAUGGAGGAACACCAAUGGCGAAGGCAACUUUCUGGAAUCAAACUGACGCUGAGGUACGAAGGCGUGGGGAGCAAACAGG
Molecule: ribosomal RNA, 403 nt
Filed under: Fusobacteriota bacterium
Lineage: Bacteria; Fusobacteriati; Fusobacteriota
Description: Fusobacteria bacterium partial 16S ribosomal RNA
Rfam family: Bacterial small subunit ribosomal RNA
Source: RNAcentral